Long non-coding RNA from Sander lucioperca (pikeperch), 703 nucleotides. RefSeq lists it as uncharacterized. The transcript has 2 exons. Lineage: Eukaryota; Metazoa; Chordata; Actinopteri; Perciformes; Percidae. The record is from RefSeq and is a predicted model, not a curated record.
UGUUCCCCUGAGAGAGAAACACCCACCACACUGCAAAAAAAAUCCACCCACCUAACCCAGUUAAACAUCGCUCUAAUUAUUUGACCUUUAAUCAAACAUAUGCUAUCAAAACUCCUGCUUAGUGAGUGUUUGGUUGUUUUCAAUGCACCUGGUAUUUAUAUUCGGGGAAGGUUUUUACUAAGACUAAUGAGUAGGCCUAAUUGUGGACUCUUUUUCAAGAUACAGGGUGAAAAACCGUACAUUUAAUUACGCUUUUUUUUUUUUUUUAGAAACAAGUAGGAUGGUCUCACUUUGGCUGUUUCAGCCAUAGACAUAGUCAUCCUACCUGAUGGACAAAUACAUCAACCGGUUCGUCCAGUGGUACUCCCUCACGGUUGGUCAUGGACAGGAACCCGAAGCCCAUGCGGACAUUGAACCAUUUACACACGCCGACCCCGUGGAAAGACUGUGAAUCCUCCUCGGUGCUCGGUCCCUCAUCCUCCUCGGUCUUACACACUCCUGCAAUGAAAAGUGUUUUGUAAUUAAAAAUAAAUAAAUAAAUAAAAUCAGUAUAUUGUUGUUAAUGCGCUGAUGUUUAAAACGCAUUCACUGGUUUCCAAAAAAGGGCAUUUGAACAAGGUUUAAAACGCGAAAAACUUUAGCCUACUCCUUUCUCUAGCGUUGCAAUAUCAUCAAUCAAUAUGAAUCAAUAAAAUGAGUAACA